This 397-nucleotide ribosomal RNA is filed under the name uncultured bacterium. RNAcentral's name for it is "bacterial SSU rRNA". It matches the Rfam family "Bacterial small subunit ribosomal RNA", at positions 521 to 916 of the family's 1533-position model. The record is from RNAcentral.
UAAUACGUAGGUGGCAAGCGUUGUCCGGAAUUACUGGGUGUAAAGGGCGUGUAGGCGGGAAUGUAAGUCAGAUGUGAAAUCCCAGGGCUUAACCCUGGAGCUGCAUCUGAAACUAUGUUUCUUGAGUGCCGGAGAGGAAAGCGGAAUUCCUAGUGUAGCGGUGAAAUGCGUAGAUAUUAGGAGGAACACCAGUGGCGAAGGCGGCUUUCUGGACGGUAACUGACGCUGAGGCGCGAAAGCGUGGGGAGCAAACAGGAUUAGAUACCCUGGUAGUCCACGCUGUAAACGAUGGAUACUAGGUGUAGGAGGUAUCGACCCCUUCUGUGCCGGAGUUAACACAAUAAGUAUCCCACCUGGGGAGUACGGCCGCAAGGUUGAAACUCAAAUGAAUUGACGG